CAAAGCUGACGAAUUGCAGCGGUGUCGCAUCGAGCUCGAUUUUCUUAUUGGGUUGGCACCACUUAGUUUCUAACCUAAUAAUUUCGAUCGCGGUGUCGCUCGUUGCCGAUGUUCACGCGCGAAACGGGGAAAGAAAGUGAGAUUGCAAGGGUCGUAAAGUCACGCCUCAUACUGCUUUAUGGGGUUCGCGUGUUACCGACCCAUUUUGUUGAAUUCCACCGGACCUCGUCGGAUUUCCUCGCUUCGCCUGCUUCCACGACGUUUGUCACGUUGCUGAUCGUUGUUGGGAUAUGUACAUAAUGGAUAAUAUACGAACGACCCGUGGCGAGGUUUAUUCGAUACCUUCGAAUUCGUAUAAUCGCGAGUACCUUCGUUUCAAUAAUAAACAACUCUCGUUAAAUAUGCUGAAACGUUUAAACAAGUUGUUGCCAGUUACACUGGAAAAUCACCGAUAAGAUUUAAGAUGCUGUUACAAUAAUUAUAUUCUUCUUAUAAAUUUGAAGACACGAAGAGAUCGCAGCAGAGAAAUAUAAAAAGUACAUUUUGUUCCUACUCUGAUGGAACAUCUAGAAAUUAAAGUGUACUGGCUAAUUAACCACACAUAUAAUCUAGUUAGACAAAUUUACCAAAUGUCCUGCUGGACAAACUGUAAAGCAGAAAUUAAAAUUAAAAAAAAACAUUUAAUCUUCCUCUUGUAUGGACAGUAAAUUAAAAAUAUAUAAAAGAAUAAUAAAACCUAUGUGGACAUAAAGUGCAGCGCUCUGGCCAACAGCAGUAGAAAGCUACAUAUGGAAGAUGGAAUAACUGCAAGCUUAGGACGGUUGUAAACGCUUCAUGGUGUAUUAGGAACGAAGAAAUUCGAAAUUAAACGGAAAUUCGGCACUAAAGUUCCAGCAAUUUUGUUUUACAGAGUUUUUUUUUUAUUAUUUAAUUUGUACUUUACAAUUUGUAAAGCUGGACAUUCGGUAAAAUUCCAGCAGUGUGGGAUAAAAAGAAACUUUUGAUUGUCACUACAAAUGUGUACGAAUAUAUAUAUGCGCAUUGUCAGUCCACAAUGGCGUCUAAAUGGAGAUGAUUAUUCACAAAUCCCCAGAAUAAUAAUCUGCCAAAUGUCUCCAUAGACAGUGGAGAAGAAAGGAAGAAAGAUUUUUGUUGAUCGUUGGUCCACAACAGUCAUUGUUUACAAAUGUAAUCAAUCGCAGUAGAUUCAAUUGUUCUAUACUUGUAAAAUAUAUUUACAAAAUUUAGAUAUCCUACGUAGACUUUGAACCUAUUCGAGGAAAUCAGCUUCUCGAUAUAACCGCCGAAUGCUACUACGAAUUAAAUCAAUGAACGAUUGCCUCGCUGAUAAAUUGGGAUAAGCGUACCGUUUGAAAAUUCCACUCUUCUAUCUUGUCUGAUAAGCAACGUCGAAUAAACUCGUAUCUGUUCGAUGGAAACGUUAGAAAAUCCAUAUCGCUCCACGGUUAAAUUAACAGAGUGGAGCUGACACAGCUACACAGACUACACAGGCACAAGGGACAUAAAUGGCUGUCGAAGAAACGUACUUUACGAUUCCUCGGUUCUUCAGAUAAAACGAACGAUUUUGUGUAUUCAGUUGUACCGUGUCGCGCAUUAAUUAUGGACGUGACUAAAACCACGUGUGGGAACAUUCGAAGUUGGCUACCUGUCUUCAACCCAACACGUGUGCGCUUUCUCAGAGGCCAGCUUCCUAUAAUGCUGCGUCAGAUUGACUCUCGAGAAGAGAUAAUGACAGCCAGAAGCUACUUUAACGGAGUAACGAUGCUUGUUCGUCGGCCUUCUACCUAUCGAAUGCGGUGACAGCGUCGAGUACGAUUUACAUCGGAACGCAUGGCCGCCGCUCGGUGCUCUUUAACAUCGUAAAAUGGAAUUGAAAAUAUGGAACAUGCCAACGCAAAACGAGAUGAGCAAUAAGUUGGUAACAUAGCGGUGAAGCUAGAAAAAUUUACCGAAUGUCCAUAUAUACAAAUCCGAAUGUAAAGCACAAAUUAAAUAAUAACAAAAAAAAGCAGCGGCGAUCCUUAAUCUCUUUCAUCUCACGAUAUUUAACGUUGGAGCUUAUUGUACAUCCAUAUAUGAACUGUUAUGUCUUUAUUGUAUUUUUAAUACAAUAUACCAGCUAAUGUAUCUUGGAAGAUGAAAAUUAUACAGUAAUUUUCCAGCAAUCAUUAUGGUCCCUAUCUUUUGUCACUAAGUGUAUAUAUAGCUGUGCU
Molecule: long non-coding RNA, 2234 nt
Organism: Bombus pyrosoma
Lineage: Eukaryota; Metazoa; Arthropoda; Insecta; Hymenoptera; Apidae
Exons: 3
Source: RefSeq, a predicted model, not a curated record